GACGAACGCUGGCGGCGUGCUUAACACAUGCAAGUCGAACGGAGUUCCUUGGAUAGAGGCUUCGGCCAAUUGAAAUGGAACUUAGUGGCGGACUGGUGAGUAACGCGUGAGGAACCUGCCUUUCAGAGGGGGACAACAGUUGGAAACGACUGCUAAUACCGCAUGACACAUUCGGAUGGCAUCACCUGAAUGUCAAAGAUUUAUCGCUGAAAGAUGGCCUCGCGUCUGAUUAGCUAGUUGGUGAGGUAACGGCCCACCAAGGCGACGAUCAGUAGCCGGACUGAGAGGUUGACCGGCCACAUUGGGACUGAGAUACGGCCCAGACUCCUACGGGAGGCAGCAGUGGGGAAUAUUGGGCAAUGGGCGCAAGCCUGACCCAGCAACGCCGCGUGAAGGAAGAAGGCUUUCGGGUUGUAAACUUCUUUUGUCGGGGAAGAGUAGAAGACGGUACCUGACGAAUAAGCCACGGCUAACUACGUG
Molecule: ribosomal RNA, 480 nt
Filed under: uncultured bacterium
Lineage: Bacteria
Description: bacterial SSU rRNA
Rfam family: Bacterial small subunit ribosomal RNA
Source: RNAcentral